Molecule: ribosomal RNA, 445 nt
Filed under: uncultured bacterium
Lineage: Bacteria
Description: bacterial SSU rRNA
Rfam family: Bacterial small subunit ribosomal RNA
Source: RNAcentral
GAACGAGAAAGCGGGGGCAACUCCGUGAGUAAAGUGGCGACCGGGUGAGUAACACGUGACUAACCUGCCCUUCAGUGGGGGAUAACCUCGGGAAACCGGGGCUAAUACCGCAUAACACCAUGAGGUGAAAUUCCUGGUGAUCAAAGGAGCAAUUCGCUGAAGGAGGGGGUCGCGGCUGAUUAGCUAGUUGGUGAGGUAACGGCCCACCAAGGCGAUGAUCAGUAGCCGGCCUGAGAGGGCGCACGGCCACACUGGAACUGAAACACGGUCCAGACUCCUACGGGAGGCAGCAGUGGGGAAUUUUGCGCAAUGGGGGAAACCCUGACGCAGCAACGCCGCGUGGAGGAUGAAGUCCCUUGGGAUGUAAACUCCUUUCGAUCGGGACGAUUAUGACGGUACCGGAAGAAGAAGCACCGGCUAACUCUGUGCCAGCAGCCGCGGUAAU